ACCGGCGAAUGUAAGCGGAGUACAGUGCCUCGGCCUCCGCGUACUCUCCAUUGUUGAAAUGAGCCUGGGCGAGUGUUAGGGUUGCGUGGCUUUCUUGCCGCUGUCCUUCCAUAGCAGCCAAGGCCUAGUUUUCGGUGUAGAAUGGGGGUUGACCUCCGAGCGGUUAGAGGUGGCACCACAAAGCCACUUCCACACCCUGGAAUCUACCUUGACAGCCAACCUUGGCGCUAGGUUUGUGCCUUAUGGGGAUCCGUCGUCUCGCGAGAUAACGGUUCCGCUGCUGGCGGGGCGUUUGCAGUGGCCCUUGUGAACUAUGUUUCUGCCGUUACCAGUGUUGGACCCGCCUUCCUCUUUUCCUAGAAAAGGCGCAGAUGCGUGGUCGCAAACUGAUUUCCAAGUCCGUUGUCUGAUGCUGCGAGACACUAUCCGUUUGUUACAGCGAAUUGGGGGCCGAUGACGCUGGAGGUGGAAGAAGCCGCGGUUCUGUUUCUUAAUGGCGAAUUAGCCUGCGGACGUCCUGUCAUUCCCUUGCCUUUUAGCGUCCCAACUUAGCAAAACUCCGCGUUUAGGGUGUUCUGAGUAGGCUUUGUCUACCCUGAAACGCUUUGUGUCGACAUUCCACCAGGUCUGUUCCACGGUCCAAACUUCUCUACCUUUUUUGACCCUCUAGAAUUGUGUUACGAUUAGUAGUAUAUUGUGUCGAGAGUCUGGGAUCUUUGAUGUUAGUUAUAUUCCCUGGCUGUUUAUGCCAAAGGGAAAUCCAAAUAGUAAUUUAUUACGUACAUUACGUAUAAUUCAAAUUAAAAUUUUGUAAGAACAGUUGCCAACCACGCUACCCUACAUGCCUGCUGUGUAUCUUCUCGGCGUCCCUCGAUUCUGUUUUGCUUCCCAAAGUACUUGAGCCCUUUCCGUCAUAAAAAGUAAAGAUGAAAAAUAUAUUUGGAGCAUGAUACUUACAUGCGGAAGUCUUAACAGGACAUAAAUUGUGUGCUUUUGGCUGCUUUCAUUAGAUUUUUAAUUUUUUCCUUUUACCACCACUGAAAAAAAUACAAAUACAGUGGAUUAAGGUUAAAUUAAAAAGCACUAGUAGAAAUUAAAAGAUUGCAAGACUACAAAAAAAUAAACUGGCAUUUCUGGUGUAAGCAAAUGGACAGCUCAAUAGAACAAAAGCCCAGAAACAUACCUCAAAUAGGCUGUAUUUUGUAAAAGACAUGUAACAUAUAUGGGGAAAGGACAGAUUAUUCAAAUGAGUGCUAUUGGGAGGAUUAGUUAACCAUUUGGGGAAAAAUACAUUUAAGCAUUUAAGCUCCCAAUUGACAUAAUAUUCAUUCCAGGUGAAUUAAAAGAUUAAAUAAAUAAGAUAAAAAGCUUUUUUUUUUCAGUUCCCAUUUAUUUUUGCCUCUUGGAGCAAUGUCAUCUUUUCAAUAUGAAAAAAACAAAACAAAAAACAAAUCUGAAGUACAGGAUAGAACAAAACCAAGUGUGUUGGGGGAAGCAACAGCAAAGGGAAGACAAGAUGUUGCAAAAAAAAAAAUGGAGGGGGGAUUCCCCUCUCCUCUGGGGAAUGACUCAAACACUGAUGUGGCAGCGUACACUAUUCUACAUAAAGCCAGGGAUGUUAAUCCUUUUGGGGGAUAAGAAAAAGUGGAGAUGGCCAGGCUCUGUGGCUCAUGCCUGUAAUCCCAGCACUUUGGGAGGCCUAGGCGGGCAGAUCACCUGAGGACAGGAGUUUGAUAACAGCCUGGCCAACAUGGCAAAACCCCGUCUCUACUAAAAAUGCAAAAAAUUAGCUGGGCGUGGUGGCGGGUGCCUGUAAUCC
This 1819-nucleotide long non-coding RNA is filed under the name Homo sapiens (human). Its description in RNAcentral is "HSALNT0028331". Lineage: Eukaryota; Metazoa; Chordata; Mammalia; Primates; Hominidae. The record is from RNAcentral.